UACGUAGGGAGCGAGCGUUGUCCGGAAUUACUGGGUGUAAAGGGAGCGUAGGCGGGACGGCAAGUCAGGUGUGAAAUUUAUGGGCUCAACCCAUAAACUGCAUUUGAAACUGCUGUUCUUGAGUGAAGUAGAGGUAAGCGGAAUUCCUAGUGUAGCGGUGAAAUGCGUAGAUAUUAGGAGGAACACCGGUGGCGAAGGCGGCUUACUGGGCUUUUACUGACGCUGAGGCUCGAAAGCGUGGGGAGCAAAC
RNAcentral lists this ribosomal RNA (250 nucleotides) under uncultured bacterium. Its description in RNAcentral is "partial 16S ribosomal RNA". It matches the Rfam family "Bacterial small subunit ribosomal RNA", at positions 524 to 773 of the family's 1533-position model. The record is from RNAcentral.